Molecule: transfer RNA, 58 nt
Filed under: Ixodes scapularis (black-legged tick)
Lineage: Eukaryota; Metazoa; Arthropoda; Arachnida; Ixodida; Ixodidae
Rfam family: tRNA
About the family: Transfer RNA (tRNA) molecules are approximately 80 nucleotides in length.
Source: Rfam by way of RNAcentral
UAGCUCAGUCCGUAGAGCGCUCCACUGGAAAUGGGGAGGUCCCUGGUUCAGGACCAGG